Impatiens glandulifera is the source of this 860-nucleotide long non-coding RNA. RefSeq lists it as uncharacterized. The record is from RefSeq and is a predicted model, not a curated record. The transcript is spliced from 2 exons. Lineage: Eukaryota; Viridiplantae; Streptophyta; Magnoliopsida; Ericales; Balsaminaceae.
GAUGCAUUACAGUUUCUCUCACUCAAUCUCCCUUUCUCUCUCUCUUUCAUUUUCUUCGAUCAACGCCUUCCUCUCCCCUUCUCAAAAUUGUAAUUGUAUUGCUUACGUCAGAAAUCAUCUACCCAAUAUAUAUAUAAUGAAUUAUCUUAAUAACUAAGCUAAACCCAAGAAGUGCAUGUUUGUUUAUGUGUGUGUGUGAGAGAGUAAAAAGAAGAUGGGUUGCUUCUUUUCAUCUUCAGCUCCGGUAGGCAACCAUAAUAGCCCCGGAACCACUAAGCCCCCAAGUCCAGUUAAUAGUAAAAUAGAGAGUAUUCCAACAGCCGCCGUGAAACUUGAUCAUAAUCGGAGUAGAGAUCAAUUAGUUCCGGGGGCGAAUGAUGAACUGGGAAUGCCAAAUUUAAAGGUGUUUACUCUAUCGGAGCUAAGAAGCGCCACCAGAAACUUCCGGCCGGAUACGGUUCUCGGAGAAGGAGGUUUUGGGACGGUUUUCAAAGGAUGGAUCGACGAUAAAAUGUUAACGCCGUCCAAGGUUGGAUUCGGAAUUCCGAUCGCCGUUAAAAAGUCAAAUCCCGACAGCGAUCAGGGCAUCCGGGAGUGGACGGUACGUAAACUAUAUAUACUAUUUUAUAUUAUCUUUUAUAAAAUAAAAUCAAUUUUAUAUAUUUUCAAACUAAUUAAUUAAAUAAAUAAGUUUGCAUGUGGUGAAAUAUAGGUUAAAGUUUAUUAUUAUUAUUAUUAUUAUACUUUGUCUACUUCUCUUGAGUCUUGACUGAAAUAAAAUUAAAAGUUGACUGUUUAAUAAUUGUCUAAGAAUUGGUCUCUAUUAUAUCUUAAUUCAAAUAUAUAAUAAUACUAAUUAA